CCUACGGGGCGCAGCAGUGGGGAAUAUUGCACAAUGGGCGCAAGCCUGACCCAGCAACGCCGCGUGAAGGAAGAAGGCUCUCGGGUUGUAAACUUCUUUUAUCAGGGACGAAGCAAGUGACGGUACCUGAUGAAUAAGCCACGGCUAACUACGUGCCAGCAGCCGCGGUAAUACGUAGGUGGCAAGCGUUAUCCGGAUUUACUGGGUGUAAAGGGCGUGUAGGCGGGAAAGCAAGUCAGAUGUGAAAACCAUGGGCUCAACCUGUGGCCUGCAUUUGAAACUGUUUUUCUUGAGUACUGGAGAGGCAGACGGAAUUCCUAGUGUAGCGGUGAAAUGCGUAGAUAUUAGGAGGAACACCAGUGGCGAAGGCGGUGUGCUGGACAGCAACUGACGCUGAGGCGCGAAAGCGUGGGGAGCAAACAGGAUUAAUACCCUUGUAGUC
RNAcentral lists this ribosomal RNA (442 nucleotides) under uncultured bacterium. RNAcentral describes it as "partial 16S ribosomal RNA". It matches the Rfam family "Bacterial small subunit ribosomal RNA", at positions 338 to 795 of the family's 1533-position model. The record is from RNAcentral.